GGCAGCAGCGGUAGUGAAGAGACGUGGCGUUGAUGACAGAAGACUUCUCCUUCCUCCUCUGUUCACGAUACACGAUGGUGGCAGAAGAUUCAUCAAUGGAAA
Non-coding RNA from Arachis ipaensis, 102 nucleotides. NCBI's taxonomy places the organism in Eukaryota, Viridiplantae, Streptophyta, Magnoliopsida, Fabales, Fabaceae. The record is from RefSeq and is a predicted model, not a curated record.